Molecule: ribosomal RNA, 475 nt
Filed under: uncultured organism
Description: partial 16S ribosomal RNA
Rfam family: Bacterial small subunit ribosomal RNA
Source: RNAcentral
CACUCCUACGGGAGGCAGCAGUGGGGAAUUUUGGACAAUGGGCGAAAGCCUGAUCCAGCAAUGCCGCGUGAGUGAAGAAGGCCUUCGGGUUGUAAAGCUCUUUUGUCAGGGAAGAAACGGUGAAAGCUAAUAUCUUUUGCUAAUGACGGUACCUGAAGAAUAAGCACCGGCUAACUACGUGCCAGCAGCCGCGGUAAUACGUAGGGUGCAAGCGUUAAUCGGAAUUACUGGGCGUAAAGCGUGCGCAGGCGGUUUUGUAAGUCUGAUGUGAAAUCCCCGGGCUCAACCUGGGAAUUGCAUUGGAGACUACAAGGCUAGAAUCUGGCAGAGGGGGGUAGAAUUCCACGUGUAGCAGUGAAAUGCGUAGAUAUGUGGAGGAACACCGAUGGCGAAGGCAGCCCCCUGGGUCAAGAUUGACGCUCAUGCACGAAAGCGUGGGGAGCAAACAGGAUUAGAAACCCGGGUAGUCCCAUGA